Molecule: ribosomal RNA, 482 nt
Filed under: uncultured bacterium
Lineage: Bacteria
Description: partial 16S ribosomal RNA
Rfam family: Bacterial small subunit ribosomal RNA
Source: RNAcentral
GAUGAACGCUAGCGGCAGGCCUAAUACAUGCAAGUCGGGCGGGAUUAAGGAGCUUGCUUCUGAUUUGAGCGGCGCACGGGUGCGUAACACGUAUGUAACCUACCUUUAUCAGGGGGUUACGCCCGCGAAAGGGCGCUUAUACCCGCAUAGAAUUGCAGCACAACAUUGGGGAACUAUCGACUUUUUACUGUAAAAAGAUGCGCAUGCGGAACAUUAGCUUGAUGGCGGGGUAACCGCCCAACAAGGCGACGAAGAUUUGGGGAGCGGAGAGGAUGGCCCCCCAGAACUGUACUGCGGCACGGACCAGAAUCGUACGGGAGGCAGCAGAAAGGAAUAUUAGGCAAGGGGCGGAAGCCUGAACCAGCCAUGCCGGGUGAAGAAAGACGGCGAUACGGGUUGUAAACUGCUUUUAUACGGGAAUAAACCCAGAUACGUGUAUCUGGCUGAAUGUACUGUAAGAAUAAGGAUCGGCUAACUCCGUG